GACGAACGCUGGCGGCGUGCCUAAUACAUGCAAGUAGGACGCAGUUGCGAACGGGUGAGUAACGCGUAGGUAACUGCCUAUUAGAGGGGGAGAACUAUUGGAAACGAUAGCUAAUACCGCAUACUAGUAGAUGGACCUGCGUUGUAUUAGCGAGUAGGUAGGGUAAGGGCCUACCAAGGCAACGAUACAUAGCCGACCGUAGCGGGUGAUCUGCCACACCUGGACUGCGCCACGUCCCAGACUCCUACGGGAGGCCGCAGUAGUUAAUCUUCGGCAAUGUGGGUAACCCUGACCGAGCAACGCCGCGUGAGUGAAGAGGGUUUUCGGAUCGUAUAGCGCGGUGUUUAAGGAUGCGGUACUUAACCAGAGAGCGACGGCUAACUACGUGCCAGCAGCCGCGGUAAUAC
This 407-nucleotide ribosomal RNA is filed under the name uncultured bacterium. RNAcentral's name for it is "partial 16S ribosomal RNA". It matches the Rfam family "Bacterial small subunit ribosomal RNA", at positions 28 to 526 of the family's 1533-position model. The record is from RNAcentral.